RNAcentral lists this ribosomal RNA (484 nucleotides) under uncultured bacterium. Its description in RNAcentral is "partial 16S ribosomal RNA". It matches the Rfam family "Bacterial small subunit ribosomal RNA", at positions 28 to 507 of the family's 1533-position model. The record is from RNAcentral.
AUUGAACGCUGGCGGCAUGCUUUACACAUGCAAGUCGAACGGCAGCGCGGGCUUCGGCCUUGCGGCGAGUGGCGAACGGGUGAGUAAUUCAUCGGAACGUGCCCAGUCGUGGGGGAUAGCCCGGCGACAGCCGGAUUAAUACCGCAUACGACCUGAGGGUGAAAGCGGGGGACCGAAAGGCCUCGCGCUAUUGGAGCGGCCGAUGUCGGAUUAGCUAGUUGGUGAGGUAAAGGCUUACCAAGGCGACGAUCCGUAGCUGGUCUGAGAGGACGACCAGCCACACUGGGACUGAGACACGGCCCAGACUCCUACGGGAGGCAGCAGUGGGGAAUUUUGGGCAAUGGGGGCAACCCUGAUCCAGCCAUGCCGCGUGCGGGAAGAAGGCCUUCGGGUUGUAAACCGCUUUUGUUCGGGAAGAAAUCCUCUGGGCUAAUACCCCGGGGGGAUGACGGUACCGGAAGAAUAAGCACCGGCUAACUACGUG